Molecule: unclassified non-coding RNA, 441 nt
Filed under: Hevea brasiliensis (rubber tree)
Lineage: Eukaryota; Viridiplantae; Streptophyta; Magnoliopsida; Malpighiales; Euphorbiaceae
Source: RNAcentral
CACAAACUGAUCCAUGACAGAAUGCAGAUCAGGCGAAGAAGGACAGUGACAAAUGCCUAUAACGGCAAAAAUUUUCCGAUUGGAUUGAAAAUCUUCCCAAGGACUAGCCGGUGAACCACCGACCAUGUAUUUGAACCGUAGGCUACCGGAAUCCCAAGGUUGAUGAGCGAAAGGAGAUUUUUGAUGUUCUGUGUAGAAUGAACUGAUGGAAGAUAAUGAUACUGUGUAGUGACGAACUAGCAUAGAAGUGUAGUCGCGGAAUAAAGGGAUUGCUAUAGAUCCGAUUGGUAGAACUGCUACUCGGAUCAUACAACUUGUUUCGAUGCUCACGUCGGGUUCCAUUUCGAACUCUGCCGGGAAAUGAUCGCCGGAGAAGAUGGAAAGUGGAGAUUGGCAGCUCCGGCGAAGCGGUUUUUAGAUCAGAUAUUAAGCAUAGGACGG